UAUGGUGACAAAAGCAGAAGGGAUACACCUGUAUCCAUACCGAACACAGAAGUUAAGCCUUCUAACGCCGAUGGUACUCGGAGGGAGACCUCCCGGGAGAUUAGGAAGUUGCCAAAC
RNAcentral lists this ribosomal RNA (117 nucleotides) under Anaerococcus faecalis. Lineage: Bacteria; Bacillati; Bacillota; Tissierellia; Tissierellales; Peptoniphilaceae. The record is from RNAcentral.